This 67-nucleotide transfer RNA is filed under the name Rexea solandri (silver gemfish). Its description in RNAcentral is "tRNA-Cys". Lineage: Eukaryota; Metazoa; Chordata; Actinopteri; Scombriformes; Gempylidae. The record is from RNAcentral.
AGCCUUGAGGUGUUUUGACAUAUGAGAUUGCAAAUCCCGAGGAGCAGACUAACGUCUGCCGGGGCUU